UAGGGAAUCUUCCACAAUGGACGCAAGUCUGAUGGAGCAACGCCGCGUGAGUGAAGAAGGUUUUCGGAUCGUAAAGCUCUGUUGUUGGUGAAGAAGGAUAGAGGCAGUAACUGGUCUUUAUUUGACGGUAAUCAACCAGAAAGUCACGGCUAACUACGUGCCAGCAGCCGCGGUAAUACGUAGGUGGCAAGCGUUGUCCGGAUUUAUUGGGCGUAAAGCGAGCGCAGGCGGAAUGAUAAGUCUGAUGUGAAAGCCCACGGCUCAACCGUGGAACUGCAUCGGAAACUGUCAUUCUUGAGUGCAGAAGAGGAGAGUGGAACUCCAUGUGUAGCGGUGGAAUGCGUAGAUAUAUGGAAGAACACCAGUGGCGAAGGCGGCUCUCUGGUCUGCAACUGACGCUGAGGCUCGAAAGCAUGGGUAGCGAACAGGAUUAGAUACCCUGGUAGUCCAUGCUGUAAACGAUGAGCGCUAGGUGUUGGGGGACUUUCCGGUUCU
RNAcentral lists this ribosomal RNA (495 nucleotides) under uncultured bacterium. Its description in RNAcentral is "partial 16S ribosomal RNA". It matches the Rfam family "Bacterial small subunit ribosomal RNA", at positions 355 to 840 of the family's 1533-position model. The record is from RNAcentral.